GACGAACGCUGGCGGCGUGCUUAACACAUGCAAGUCGUGCGGUAAGGCCCUUUCGGGGGUACACGAGCGGCGAACGGGUGUGUAACACGUGAGCAACCUGCCCUUCACUUUGGGAUAACUGCCGGAAACGGUGGCUAAUACCGGAUAUGACUUCCUCACGCAUGUGGGGUGGUGGAAAGCCUUCGGGUGGUGGGGGAUGGGCUCGCGGUCUAUCAGCUUGUUGGUGGGGUGAUGGCCUACCAAGGCUUCGACGGGUAGCCGGCCUGAGAGGGUGACCGGCCACACUGGGACUGAGACACGGCCCAGACUCCUACGGGAGGCAGCAGUGGGGAAUAUUGGACAAUGGGCGAAAGCCUGAUCCAGCAACGCCGCGUGAGGGAUAACGGCCGUCGGGUUGUAAACCUCUUUCGCCUGCGACGAAGCGAGAGUGACGGUAGCAGGUAAAGAAGCACCGGCCAACUACGUG
This 466-nucleotide ribosomal RNA is filed under the name uncultured bacterium. RNAcentral describes it as "partial 16S ribosomal RNA". It matches the Rfam family "Bacterial small subunit ribosomal RNA", at positions 28 to 507 of the family's 1533-position model. The record is from RNAcentral.